This 342-nucleotide unclassified non-coding RNA is filed under the name soil metagenome. RNAcentral's name for it is "partial contains 5.8S ribosomal RNA, internal transcribed spacer 2, and large subunit ribosomal RNA". The stretch from base 1 to 120 matches the Rfam family "5.8S ribosomal RNA", at positions 35 to 154 of the family's 154-position model. The record is from RNAcentral.
GAUGAAGAACGUAGCGAAAUGCGAUAAGUAGUGUGAAUUGCAGAAUUCAGUGAAUCAUCGAAUCUUUGAACGCACAUUGCGGCCAUAGGUAUUCCUUUGGCCAUGCCUGUUCGAGCGUCAUUUACACCCUCAAGCCGAGCUUGGUGUUGGGCGUCUGUCCCGCCGUUCUCGCGCGCGGACUCGCCUCAAAGUCAUUGGCGGCGGUCGUGCCGGCCCCCUCGCGCAGCACAUUUGCGCUUCUCGGAGGCCCGGCGGAUCCGCGCUCCAGCAAGACCUUUCACGACUUGACCUCGGAUCAGGUAGGGAUACCCGCUGAACUUAAGCAUAUCAAUAAGCGGAGGA